UAUGUGAUGAAGACCAUUUGAAUCCCAAUUCAAUUAUCGACUAGCUACGGCGAUGUUGUCGAACCUAAUCACCAUCUUUCGCCUGACUAUA
This is a small nucleolar RNA of Kluyveromyces lactis, 91 nucleotides long. The record is from RefSeq and is a predicted model, not a curated record. Lineage: Eukaryota; Fungi; Ascomycota; Saccharomycetes; Saccharomycetales; Saccharomycetaceae.